GUGAAUCAUCGAAUUUUUGAACGCAAAUUGCGCCUUUUUCGGAAGGCAUGUCUGUUUGAGGGCACCAUUUAACAAAUAAUGUGCAGCGUUUUUUGUUGCACACGUUGAUGAGCUUUCAAAAAUUUUAAAUUUUUGGUUGGCGAUUAAGAACCAGGGUAAAGGUUUUUUUAAUUUGGAGGGUA
This 182-nucleotide unclassified non-coding RNA is filed under the name Paraglomus occultum. RNAcentral's name for it is "partial contains 5.8S ribosomal RNA and internal transcribed spacer 2". The stretch from base 1 to 65 matches the Rfam family "5.8S ribosomal RNA", at positions 84 to 154 of the family's 154-position model. Lineage: Eukaryota; Fungi; Glomeromycota; Glomeromycetes; Paraglomerales; Paraglomeraceae. The record is from RNAcentral.